AGCUUUGGGAGAGGAGCCCCAGCCCUGGCAUUCCCAGGUGUCCUCAUUCUGUGAUCAGGACUGAACACAGAGACUCACCAUGGAGUCCGGGCUUUGCUGGGUUUUCCUUGUUGCCCUGUUAAAAGGUGUCCAGUGUGAGGUGCAGCUGGUGGAGUCUGGGGGAGGCCUGGUCCAGCCUGGGGGGUCCCUGAGACUCUCCUGUGCAGCCUCUGGAUUCAGCUUUGAUGACUACGUCAUGCACUGGAUCCGCCAGGCUCCAGGGAAGGGGCUGGAGUGGAUCUCAUACAUUUACAGUAGUAGCACAAGCUACGCAGACUCCGUGAAGGGCCGGUUCACCAUCUCCUCAGACAAUGGCAAGAACAUGCUGUAUCUGCAAAUGAACAGUCUGCGAGCAGAGGACACGGCCAUGUACUACUGUGCAGCAGGUGCAGUCUGCAUAGAGGUGAAAAGGCCUGGGGAGUCUCUGACAAUCUCCUGCAGGGCAUCUGGAUACAGCCUUGUCAGCUGCCACAUCUUCUGGCUGUGCCAGAUGCCUGGGACGGAUCUCAACUCGGGCAGUUUUCCAUUAGCCCCUUGA
Molecule: non-coding RNA, 577 nt
Organism: Microcebus murinus (gray mouse lemur)
Lineage: Eukaryota; Metazoa; Chordata; Mammalia; Primates; Cheirogaleidae
Source: the annotation of a RefSeq genome assembly